RNAcentral lists this transfer RNA (58 nucleotides) under Bacillus thuringiensis. RNAcentral describes it as "tRNA-Asp". It matches the Rfam family "tRNA", at positions 12 to 65 of the family's 71-position model. From Rfam's summary of the family: Transfer RNA (tRNA) molecules are approximately 80 nucleotides in length. Their secondary structure includes four short double-helical elements and three loops (D, anti-codon, and T loops). Further hydrogen bonds mediate the characteristic L-shaped molecular structure. tRNAs have two regions of fundamental functional importance: the anti-codon, which is responsible for specific mRNA codon recognition, and the 3' end, to which the tRNAs corresponding amino acid is attached (by aminoacyl-tRNA synthetases). tRNAs cope with the degeneracy of the genetic code in two manners: having more than one tRNA (with a specific anti-codon) for a particular amino acid; and 'wobble' base-pairing, i.e. permitting non-standard base-pairing at the 3rd anti-codon position. The record is from RNAcentral. Lineage: Bacteria; Bacillati; Bacillota; Bacilli; Caryophanales; Bacillaceae.
GUAGUGGUUAACAUGCCUGCCUGUCACGCAGGAGAUCGCCGGUUCGACCCCGGUCGGG